AUUGAACGCUGGCGGCAUGCUUUACACAUGCCAGUCGAACGGCAGCGCGGGCUUCGGCCUGGCGGCGAGUGGCGAACGGGUGAGUAAUACAUCGGAACGUGCCCAGUAGUGGGGGAUAGCUCGGCGAAAGCCGGAUUAAUACCGCAUACGACCUGAGGGUGAGAGCGGGGGAUCUUCGGACCUCGCGCUAUUGGAGCGGCCGAUGGCAGAUUAGCUAGUUGGUGGGGUAAAGGCCUACCAAGGCGACGAUCUGUAGCUGGUCUGAGAGGACGACCAGCCACACUGGGACUGAGACACGGCCCAGACUCCUACGGGAGGCAGCAGUGGGGAAUUUUGGACAAUGGGCGAAAGCCUGAUCCAGCAAUGCCGCGUGUGUGAUGAAGGCCUUCGGGUUGUAAAGCACUUUUGGCGGGAACGAAAAGGACUGUGCCAAUACCACGGUUCGAUGACGGUACCCGCAGAAUAAGCACCGGCUAACUACGUG
RNAcentral lists this ribosomal RNA (484 nucleotides) under uncultured bacterium. RNAcentral describes it as "partial 16S ribosomal RNA". It matches the Rfam family "Bacterial small subunit ribosomal RNA", at positions 29 to 507 of the family's 1533-position model. The record is from RNAcentral.